This 443-nucleotide long non-coding RNA is filed under the name Homo sapiens (human). RNAcentral's name for it is "non-protein coding lnc-TNS3-1:3". The record is from RNAcentral. Lineage: Eukaryota; Metazoa; Chordata; Mammalia; Primates; Hominidae.
ACUAUCUUGAAACGUGUAUUUCCAAACCAAAAGGAGAUUGCAAUAGUGGAAAAGGGGAGAAAACUUGGAUGCCAAUCAAAAGGGAUAGAUAAAUUAUGAUGGAGCUCUGUAUUGUUUUUUAUAAAUCUAUGUAUUCUUCACUGUUAGGCCACAAAGUAGAGCUUUUCUUGACAUCUGAUGGCAGCACAAUAGUAAGCUGCACCGCUUCUGUGGACAUUGCAGAUGAACACAUAAAACCUCUCCCUCAACCAGAUCCUGUACGUGACAAUGAAGAAACACAUGCUCAAGUGCUGAAAAAUAGAUUAGCAAAAAAAAGGUCAGUACCUUAAGCAAGGACCACGAUAGAACAACUUAGCAAAAUGUUCUUCAUCACUCAGUACUGGUAUCGUUGUGGGCAGUAUCAGUCUCACAGUCAUGGUAAGAAUGUAGAUGGUCUGAAAGAC